Molecule: ribosomal RNA, 424 nt
Filed under: uncultured Ethanoligenens sp.
Lineage: Bacteria; Bacillati; Bacillota; Clostridia; Eubacteriales; Oscillospiraceae
Description: bacterial SSU rRNA
Rfam family: Bacterial small subunit ribosomal RNA
Source: RNAcentral
CCUACGGGAGGCAGCAGUGGGGAAUAUUGCACAAUGGGCGCAAGCCUGAUGCAGCGACGCCGCGUGAGGGAUGACGGCCUUCGGGUUGUAAACCUCUGUUAGCAGGGAAGAAGAGAGAUUGACGGUACCUGCAGAGAAAGCGCCGGCUAACUACGUGCCAGCAGCCGCGGUAAUACGUAGGGCGCGAGCGUUGUCCGGAAUUAUUGGGCGUAAAGAGCUUGUAGGCGGUUUGUCGCGUCUGCUGUGAAAGGCCGGGGCUUAACUCCGUGUAUUGCAGUGGGUACGGGCAGACUAGAGUGCAGUAGGGGAGACUGGAAUUCCUGGUGUAGCGGUGGAAUGCGCAGAUAUCAGGAGGAACACCGAUGGCGAAGGCAGGUCUCUGGGCUGUAACUGACGCUGAGAAGCGAAAGCAUGGGGAGCGAAC